CAAAACGUAGCUUAAUAAUAAAGCCUCUAGCUUACACCUAGAAGAUAUCAUAUAUAAAUGAUUGUUUUG
This 69-nucleotide transfer RNA is filed under the name Glyphonycteris daviesi (Davies's big-eared bat). Its description in RNAcentral is "tRNA-Val". It matches the Rfam family "tRNA". Rfam says of the family: Transfer RNA (tRNA) molecules are approximately 80 nucleotides in length. Their secondary structure includes four short double-helical elements and three loops (D, anti-codon, and T loops). The record is from RNAcentral. Lineage: Eukaryota; Metazoa; Chordata; Mammalia; Chiroptera; Phyllostomidae.